UUUCUGCGAAUUCGAGUUUUUCCGAUUCAGUUUCAUUUUGUGCGCCGAGCUGCUCGCAGGUCCCGUGGAACACGCGGAUGCAAGCACACACCGCAAGUGGUACCGCAAAACCGUGUCCUCUCGUUACCCCCCAUGUGGUAGCCCUCCCUCGUUCGUCUCGUUCGUGAAAAGUAGAAGUAAACGGAAAACGGCAAGGAGCAGCGAAUCGUUCGAGUUCCACCGCCGGGCAGCGUGUGUUGUACCUGCCGGACAAGCACAAGUGACAGUUUUAGAGAAGUGAUUUAGAAGUGAAAAGAAGCAAACACAAAAUACACAAAAAAACAGUACCUACACAUAUAUGUUUCUACGUUGAUAAUUCUAACAGAAUGACAGUCUGUCAAGUGACGUUUUGUUUGAGAAAGCGAAGAGAAUUUUGAUUGUGCUUUAGAAUUGAUCAACCGACGAGUUCCGACGAGAAAUUGUGAAUUGUAUCAAGUGCGCCAGUGUGAAUCUCGACCCAACUGACGAUCCUCCAAUCCCAUCCAACAACCCUUUAGAAGCGAUCCAAGUGGAGCUACCGGUGGAAACAACACCGUGAAAAUAAAGCAAACGCUUUCACGAUAAUUGUGUGUCCUCGAUCGAGCUUAGUACCCGAGCAUCCAAUCCGAGUAUCGAAUUGUUGCCGCACCCAUAGCCUUGUUCCUGACCCGUGUAAGUGGUGUUUAUUGUGGUGCAACGAAAGCGAAAGUUUACCGUUUAAAGCGAAAAGUGGGUGUGCUAUAGAAUUUUAGUGAGAUAUUUCGUGAAAGUGUGAAAUAGCCGCCAAUUUCAAUCGAAACCCAACAAAAAAUCGUGUGUGCUUGUGGUGUUUAGUGUGUGUGUGCUGUUAACAGUGAAAAGGGCGUAAAGUUGCGGGUAAAGCUCCCUUUGCGCGCGUAACAAUGCCUAUCCAUAGCAGGAUGAAAGCUCGUGCAAUAGUGCCAAUGUCCCAUCGAUCAGCCAUACCGAGUGCGUCGGUCGAGCAGCGCUGUGUCUGCUGAAAACGAAGUGUUGUACAACGCAUUGUUUUUUUGGUGUGUUAUCGCUUUUCGGCGAUUCACUUUUUCGCCAAUCCGUGGAACGUAUCGCGAGAUUUGUGGUGCAUAUGUGUAUGCGUCCUGUGUGAGCGCAUGUGUGUGUAUGUGUGCGUUUCGAUAUACAAGUGCGACUUGUCGCCGUGACCCAGCAGUGUGCAGUGUGCUGUGAGAGCAAGAAAAACCAUGAAGAAAUCAACUGACAUGUGUCAUUACCGAUCAGCGAAGAAGUUUAAAUUAUUGCCCAAAAUCCGAGCCAGUCCAAGAUAUCGGGAGGCACCCUAGAAACGAAGAAAUUUGCAGGGAAGCGUGUGCAGUUUUUCGUUGUGCGAGUGUGAAACCGCACACAGUUAAUGUUGCGUCUCCUUCCCAAGCUCGUCCGUGUGCAAUCCGUGGGCCGACAGCUGUCCGGGCAGCUGACACUGUACACAAGGUCGUACCAAACUCAAAUUUGCCACACCGAAGAGACGAGAUACCGAAGUUUUUUUUUGUGGGAACCGAUUGAGUUUCCACCAGCCAACAGUAUUCGCGACGCGAAGUGUUCUGUUCGGGACACUAGAAGCAAAUUCCAAGGGCAAACAGGCAAGAAGGCAUCUGCAACAUACAUUGCGAAGAUUCUAAGCGGAAACUAAAGCAACUAGCCUAGAUCCUAGUAUCUCCAAGAGUCGUCCGCUCUAAGAAAAUACGAUCGUGGAUCGACCCGACCGUCCAAGAGGAUCUUCAGAGCAAAGCAAAAUAACGCGGAUCCGACUAGGGCCAAAGAUAUUGCCGUACCAUACCCCACAAAACAAACAUACAUACCAGUCAAACUGACGAGACGCCAUGUACUUACGCAAAUGGAGUCCAGUAAAAUAUUUGAUGUACCUAUGGCUUGCAAUUCUGGUUUGGAUGUUCUCUCGGUGUGAUAGUGCCGCCACGAUGCACCUGGCACCGCCACCGUAUCACAGCAGCGGCUUCCAGGGCACACCCGGUGGCCACUCCAGUAGCAUUAGCAGCAGCAGCAGCAUUAGCAGUAGUGGUAGAUAUGUUAGUGAUAGCCGUAGCACAACAACUAGCGUUAGUAGUCACACCUCGGCGCCGGCGCACCGUGUGGAGGAGGGUCUGUCCGGCGGUGCGAUUCCGCCCCGGUUAUACACUAGCUCCGGUGCGCCAUCCACCGCAUCAUCAUCACCACCACCACUGCCGCUGCUGGUCCUGCCCAGGAGUGCGCCCUGGCCCUGGCAGCAACCGGCGGCCAGUCGUGGCUCUGAAGCGUCUGCUGUGCAGCUGCUUCGGCGCACCAGUGCCAACACCAAAGCCGAGCAGCCGGGCCGGACAUUACCAGCAAACCAGCUGAGCGAGCUCGAUCCGCAACCGAUCGCGCUGCCAGCGUCCGCCGGGGAGGAGUCAUCCACUGGCAACAGUAGUAUUAUCAAUGCGGAACGCUCGCUGCAGCAGCGUUGGGCGUCCCAGAUGCGGCUUAAAGGCGAGCGUCGCCGACUGCACAGGAGACGUUGGCGAACGGCAAACAACAGCAGCAGUCGGUCUAGCAGCCUGCUCGCCAGCCGCAAUCGUCGUGAUUCGGCCCUGCUGCCGACCGGAUACGGCGGUAGCGUCCGGCCAGCGUCUACCGGCAGCGGACAACAGCACCCGGUGCGACCGCAGCGACGGAACGGUACCGGUGGCGGCCCCGGUCAGCGCCGCUACUGUUCCGCCCGCGAUCCAGCGACGCUCGCGUUCGAGGCACCGAUCGUGUGCGAAGCGAAGGUAAAGUCAAUGAGCGACCGGCGACCCAUCUUUGCCGCCACGUUCGAGAUACUGGCGCUGCACAAGCUGCCACCGAAGGGGCGGCCGCUGCGGGGCCUUACCGUGCGGCUGCAGUUCAACCUGACCACCGCGAACGAGUGCGACAUCUUUCGGGGGAAGUUCCGCGAGCGGGGCUUCGUGCGCGAGGAGCUCGAGCUGGGCAAGGUGUACUUCCUGUUUCUGAAACCGAACAUGCGCUACACCAACUUCACCAUUCUCGGGCAGCCGAUCCGCAAGACCAAGCGGUCGGAGGGCGGUGUGCUGCAGGGCGUCAAUCCUAACUACGGUACCCGGCCAGCGAUCCACUUCAUCACACCGAACGUGACGCGCGUCGAGGGCAAGCGGGUGCGGCUGGUAUGCAAGGUCGGUGGUCAGCCACCGCCGAAGGUGGCCUGGUUCAAAGACAAGCGGCUGAUCAACCGGAACGCCACCAAAUACGCCCAAGUGCAUCUGAAGAAACGGUCCGAGCUGAUCAUCUUCAACACCAGCACGACGGAUUCUGGAGAGUACGAGUGUCGGGCCAAAAAUAGAUAUAACAAUUCGUCCGUCUUCAACUCGACGCACGUUAAAAUUACCUUACCAAAAGCGACCAUUCCUGCGGUCUACUCGCGGUCCUGCGCCGACAGCCAUCGGGACGACUUCUGCCACAACGGCGGCACGUGCUUCAACAUCGACAGCAUCGGGGAGCUGGCUUGCUACUGUCCGAAAGGAUUUUCCGGUUUUCGGUGCGAAAACAAGGACAGCGAGUUUCAUCCGGUCUCUUCGAACAAGCAGCAGGACUGUACAUCACAGCGAUACGCAGGUUAUUAUUGCUAAAUAAGGCUUUAUAACAUCAGCAAACAAAACCACACACUCACACACCCACCCACACACACCAACCCCCCCUGAUUGCAAACGAACGAACAGAAAUGAAAAACAAAAAACAAAACAAAAACCUCCCUCGAAUCAGCGGUCACGGUGCGCGGUUCGGCAUCUGGAGUAGCGAUCGGGUGUUUAGGUAAUCGGCCCGCCACACCAGCAGGCUGUCUGUCCCGCUCCGUAGAAAGAACGCAGGAAGCAAACCGCCCGGACCCCACGACGACGACGACGCACACGAAUGCCGCGGACCGUUGAGAGCCGUUUUAAUGCCGGACAUUGUUGCUCUCGUUUGUUGGGGAUGGCGGCCAUGGGAGGGGGGGGGGAGUAAUUAGUCAGCGAAAAAACCAAAAAUUAACACUAGUAGAAAAUCGUCCUAGCCGUAGGGUAAACAAACACAAAAUCAUACACAAACGCUGUGGUAUUACAUUUGAAAUGCCAACUAAAGCGACGUACCAACGGACGGACGUUGUGUUGAGAAAGCGAUAGGAAGCAGCGGGAAGAACGGAUUGGUUAUGGAAGUAGCUAAAGUGACUUAUUUUCCAGUUCCACUAGCCAGUUCCCUUCAUUCGCUCUCUCUCUCUCUCUCUCUAUCGUUCUCCACCGUAGACGUUUGGUCGUUGGUUUUGUAAAUACCAGCCUGUAAAGCAAAGGGAGUACGCAAUCGCAGCAAAAGCUGAACGUUCUAACAAAACAAUUUUGACCCAAUGGCAAAGCCGGAUUAGGAACAUGAAAAAGGAAUUAACAACCAAGAUAGCUAGCCUGUUCUUGUAUAGUACACUGGUGCACAUGGGACAAUACAGGAUAAAAAGGUAGGCUAAAACAAAGCGUUAAACACGACAAGUAUAAAACAGCGGCAGCGAACGGAAAAGCUGACGGUGACGGUGUGCGCUGUGUGGAAAAGGAAAAGGGGGUGGGAAAAAAGUUGAUAGUACAAAUUUGUGUAUAAUGUAUAAAGUGAAACCUAUUUAUUGUUUUAUGUGUACGUAAGCAUACUACUCUCCCGUUAGCUCCGAGGGGCAAGGUGAACACAGAGUGGAGGUGAACAUUUUGCAAAACCGGACAAGGAAGUAAUAGUAAACCGAAUCAUAGGUUUAAUAUAAACUAUAGUAAAAAAAGGGGGAAAAAGAAUACAGCACUCCGAGUACAGAGUGUUGCAGACGGCAGACGGAAUAAAAGCAAAGCAAGAUAACAAAAUAAAAGAAACAUUAAAAAAAAUACAAAGAAAAGCAGCAAAUCAAAGCAAAGCAUACUUCAAUGGGUUCUCAACGAAACAACAUGAAGGAAAUCAAACAACGGCAAACGGAACAUCGUGUAACGCAACCGAAUCAAUUAAAGUAAAACAUUCCAACGCACUCCCGGAUCAUCACCUUGCACCUGAAAAGGCGGCCGGAAAGAAGGAUGGAGGAAAAGCUUUUUUGUGGAAAUUUGAACGAGAGAAAAUUACCUAUAAGCAGAACAAACAAAGCUCUAAACAAUGUUCUUUGUGGAUUUAUGUGGAGACAUGGUGUAAAUUGGUGUUGGUCUUUUUGUUUUGUUUCUACUAUUGUUAUGGCACAAUAUGACAUUGGAAAACGGUACAAGGAAUCUAACCCAAUGCAGAAAGGUGUUGGAUUUUUUUCUUUCUUCUACACUUUCCCUAACGAACGAGCUUUCAAACCUUUCAGUAAUGAUUUAACUGUCAUUCUACCACAACAGCUAAACGAGCAGUAUAUAAAUUAACCCUGACAAUGGUAUCGUAAAUACUUUUUACCCGGUUUUAUAUCAUCACACUUUGAACGUGUUAAUCAAUCAGCAUGCAAAAAACUAUUCCAUGACAUUCAAUUGGUUUUUGGGAUUCUAGAUCAUGGUUUUGGAGAGUGGAUCGACAUUUGUGUAUGUAUAGCGCUAAGCCAAAUCGUCUUGCAAAUUAAAACAUAAAGCUUCAUGAGAAGUUUCAAUACAAAGCUCCUAUUCAGCACUGAUACCCAAGCAACAAAAUCAACAUGCUUUUUCGCAUGGCCAACUUUGAUGGACAGAACGACACGGCUGAUUUUGCUCCCUGGGCAAUUUGACAUGAAACGUAAAGAUGCGUAACAGUAUCUCUAUCUCUUUCUCUCUCUUUCACACAAAAAUACACAUUUUUUCUCUCUCCUUUUUUCUUACACACUUUCUCUUUCUCUCUUCCCUAUCCAUCGCUUGCGAGCCUGUUGGUUAAGGUGUUGGGUAGUUUCUCGCUUUUUCCUUAGUUAUUGUAGCAACCAUCCCACUGCGUAGCUCUUUUCUCACAUUCAAACGUCAAAGUUCGCCCGUUACUGGAGAUGUGCGGAGAGGUUUAUUAAGCACAUGUUCUCAAAUGUUACCAAUGCUUGUUUUCCCGUCGUAUGGCGCAUCCACUCAAUUGUCAAAGCAAAUCGAAGAGCGCUAAAUAUUAGUAUUGGAAAGCCAGCAACACAGUUGUACAUGUUGAACAUGCUAUUCAUUGUUCAUUGCUCUUAUUGUAAAUAAUGAAAAUAGAAGCGUUAGAUAGUCGAUAGUUAGACACUUUUCUUUUCAAAAUCUCAUAGAACAAACAAUCACGCAUGAGUAUUAUAGGAGAGGUUAGUUGGCCCAAAAGGAUGCUCAGGCAGCCAGGCAACGAAGCGCAAAAAUCGAGCGACAUUGCUAGUCCAGUAAUCAUGUUCGUGCAUAUAGGGAUGCCCUAACGUGUGGGCCGGGAAAGCUUCCCACUGUGCUAGUGGUAACAGUAGUAAUAAUAAUAAUAAUAAUAAUAAUAAUAAUAAUAAUAGUAAUUAAUAGGUACUCAGUAAAAUAUAUUGGAGCGAUAGGCAACACUGGAACUGUUAUGGGUAGACAAAGAGCGAAAAGAAAAAUCGCCAUCAUUGCAGUGAGAGUAACGGUACCACAAAUAAAGGCAAGCUAGAACACCGUACAUGGAAAGCAUGAAUUUUUUGUCUAAUGUUGUGUGUGAGUGUGCGUGGGAAGAAAACGACGGACUGCAACGAAUCUGCAUUCUGUUCCCAAUCGUACGCUCGCCUUAGCUUAGAGCCUGCCCGAACUUAAAGACUGCUCACACACACACACACAAACGCAAGCCAGCACAGCGACAAUCGAGCGACGAACAUAAGACUGAUGAUGCAAAGCAAGCAUAAACAAACACAAAAUCGAACGCAAGCAAUCAAACCACCCAUGUUUGACCUUUGUUUUGGGGUGCUGCUCCAAAAUGCUCCAAAAAAAAAGGGCAACCGAUUGCCACCAUACCAUCCUCGAUCACCAAAGGACGCCUGUACACAGAAUGUAUGGACUUUUUCGUGAUGGACUCUCCCGCACCGGCACUGUACGAGUAUGAAGAUGAUGAUAAUUGAUUCAUGUGAUAUGGCACCGCUUCUUCAAACGACGCCAGCUGGAGUUGAUUGUCCCGCGGAACAGUCGGCUGCUAGGCGACCGAGCUCCUUCCAAACCCAAUACACAGUCACUCACACAUUCACUCACACGUCCACUCACAUAAUUAGUGCACACAUACACACACAACACAGUUGGCCAGUAAACUACUUAUGCCAUAUUUUACUUAUGCCUUAUUGCUGGCCACUUUGAAAAUUUGUCCGUCAGCAAUAGAAAGUGAGCAAAUAGUGCAAAUAGGAAAGCGCGCACAAGCACAAACAUAGCCAAGUAGCAAAGCAUUAAUCGGUGUGCUUUCGGUGUCAAAAUGAUAGUGAGGAAAAAAGUAACAAUAACUACUACAUUAAUGAAAAACAGCCUGUACUUUACAGUUAAGUAUGCCUCCAAUGCUAUAAGCGAGCAGCAGGUUAAGUUUUAAGUUGCCUUCACGUAGAUAUGCCGCAACACACAUGACGGUUUUUAGCAAAACAAAACACAUUUAAAAAUACCAAAGAAUGUAUAUAGCUAAGCAGCAGCAACCAGGCGACGCAAAAUAAAUGGUUUAUUAAACCUUGCAUUGAUCAUAAACACGCAUUCAUUAGUGAAUCAUCGGUGUCGCUAUGCAAGUGGACGGAGGGAUUUUUUCUUCUUUUUGUUAACUACGGAAGGAUGAAGAAGUAGAUAAAAACAUGCUAAAAAGGACAAAUAAACUUAUAAAUUGUAUUUUAACUUUCAACGGCAACGCAUUAAUGCAUAACCUUAACCGUGAAUUGAA
Molecule: RNA transcript, 7824 nt
Organism: Anopheles gambiae (African malaria mosquito)
Lineage: Eukaryota; Metazoa; Arthropoda; Insecta; Diptera; Culicidae
Gene: vn
Gene name: protein vein
Exons: 8
Source: RefSeq, a predicted model, not a curated record